This 608-nucleotide ribosomal RNA is filed under the name uncultured spirochete. Its description in RNAcentral is "partial 16S ribosomal RNA". It matches the Rfam family "Bacterial small subunit ribosomal RNA", at positions 1 to 347 of the family's 1533-position model. The record is from RNAcentral. Lineage: Bacteria; Pseudomonadati; Spirochaetota; Spirochaetia; Spirochaetales.
GUCGUGAUCCGGGGCCGCUGCAGAGCUUGAUCCUGGCUCAGAACUAACGCUGGCGGCGCGUCUUAAACAUGCAAGUUGAGCGGACAGAAGACUGAUGACUGAGUGGCAGAAAGCUGAGGUAAAUAUAGCAAAUAUCAGUUUUUUGAUUUUUGGUCUUUUUUUGAACUGAGAAGUACGGGACAUGGGACGAGUGCAUUUUUUACCUGCAAUUCGCAAGAUAUUGCCACAGUUUACAGGAAACUGUAUCUAUGCUUUUUGAGCAUAGCGAGAAAAGCCAAGCAAACGAAGUUUCGCACCCGCAAGCGUGUAGUUUGCGUGAACCGUCCUCUGUCCUCCGUCCUCAGUCUUCUGUUAGCGGCGAACGGGUGAGUAAUACAUGAGUAACCUACCUUUAAGUUGGGGAUAACUUCUCGAAAGGGAAGCUAAUACCGAAUGUGUCCAGCAAUUCACAAGGAUGGUUGGGUAAAGGAGUAAUCCGCUUAGAGAUGGGCUCAUGCCUGAUUAGCUAGUUGGUAGGGUAAUGGCCUACCAAGGCGACGAUCAGUAGCCGGCCUGAGAGGGUGAACGGCCACAAUGAACUGCGACACGGUCCAUACUUCUACGUGAAG